RNAcentral lists this unclassified non-coding RNA (393 nucleotides) under soil metagenome. Its description in RNAcentral is "partial contains 5.8S ribosomal RNA, internal transcribed spacer 2, and large subunit ribosomal RNA". The stretch from base 1 to 122 matches the Rfam family "5.8S ribosomal RNA", at positions 35 to 154 of the family's 154-position model. The record is from RNAcentral.
GAUGAAGAACGCAGCGAAAUGCGAUACUUGGUGUGAAUUGCAGAAUCCCGUGAACCAUCGAGUCUUUGAACGCAAGUUGCGCCCGAAGCCACUAGGCCGAGGGCACGCCUGCCUGGGCAUCACACGUCGUUGCCCCCCCCCCAUCUACUCCUUCGGGAUUGCGGGGGGCGGAUGAUGGCCUCCCGUGCGCCUAGCCGCGCGGGUGGCAUAAAUACCAAGUCCUCGGCGACGCACGCCACGACAAUCGGUGGUUGCGAAACCUCGGUUGCCCGUCGUGUGCGUUCGUCGCGCAUCGAGGGCUCGAAAAAAUGCUCGGCUCCGGCUCGGCUUUCAACGCGACCCCAGGUCAGGCGGGGUUACCCGCUGAAUUUAAGCAUAUCAAUAAGCGGAGGA